This is a non-coding RNA of Paramuricea clavata, 334 nucleotides long. The record is from the annotation of a GenBank genome assembly. Lineage: Eukaryota; Metazoa; Cnidaria; Anthozoa; Malacalcyonacea; Plexauridae.
GGUCCAUUGCACAUAUCAACAUAUAUAGUUCAGUGCUUGGUAACCAAGCCUUAAAGUGAUCCCAAAAAAUUUUUCUGCUGGCGGCAAUAUUGGAAAUUUUCAGUGAAAAACGUCGACUAUAAACUCCAAAGUCCAAUUAUAAAAACAGACUCGUCACAUCGAGAAUUAAAUAUAUAUAUAUAUAUAUAUAUACGUCCUUUUAAAUAGCGUUUUAAAUAAUAGACGAUGCAGCGAGAAACAAGAAUGAAAAGAGAAUUACAGUUGAUGGAGAGAGACCCUCCUCCAGGAAUAUCUUGUUGGAUGGUUGAUGACCGUAUUGAUAAUUUACAAGCAA